This is a long non-coding RNA of Rhipicephalus microplus (southern cattle tick), 459 nucleotides long. The record is from RefSeq and is a predicted model, not a curated record. Lineage: Eukaryota; Metazoa; Arthropoda; Arachnida; Ixodida; Ixodidae.
UUGUAAGAGUUCACAUGUGGCAGCCAUGGCUUCGCGCUCAAGCUUUAUUCGCGAGUCCGCGUUCAUUUUUAUACGCGUGCUUUCAUCUUUACUUUCGGUCGUCUUUGCGAGUUUUGCUUUCGUUCCAGGAGUACCGACGUAUACGUACCAAUGCGCCCCGUGCCACUUGAGUGCUUCUUGACUCUGUGCCGAACGUGCUGCCUGCAUUGCGUCGACUUAACAACCAUGGCGUCUGGUGCAUGAAACUGGCAAUCUCGCCCGUCCGUUGCAUACAUCGCCCAGUCUUCGCUUUCUGAACCUCCUCGGUCGAACGUCCUUCCUAAGAGCGUUGGAUCUCUCUGUUUGGCGGCCUGCAGCGACUUGGUCAAGUGCGUUUCUUUUUCUGGUGAUUGCUUUCGUAGUCCGUGUUUGCAUAUCGCCAAGCAUUGGUGAGCCAUCAUGUAAUGAAAUUUUGUGCAG